RNAcentral lists this ribosomal RNA (497 nucleotides) under uncultured bacterium. RNAcentral describes it as "bacterial SSU rRNA". It matches the Rfam family "Bacterial small subunit ribosomal RNA", at positions 127 to 611 of the family's 1533-position model. The record is from RNAcentral.
UGCCCAAGAGACUGGGAUAACACCUGGAAACAGAUGCUAAUACCGGAUAACAACACUAGACGCAUGUCUAGAGUUUGAAAGAUGGUUCUGCUAUCACUCUUGGAUGGACCUGCGGUGCAUUAGCUAGUUGGUAAGGUAACGGCUUACCAAGGCAAUGAUGCAUAGCCGAGUUGAGAGACUGAUCGGCCACAUUGGGACUGAGACACGGCCCAAACUCCUACGGGAGGCAGCAGUAGGGAAUCUUCCACAAUGGACGAAAGUCUGAUGGAGCAACGCCGCGUGAGUGAAGAAGGGUUUCGGCUCGUAAAGCUCUGUUGGUAGUGAAGAAAGAUAGAGGUAGUAACUGGCCUUUAUUUGACGGUAAUUACUUAGAAAGUCACGGCUAACUACGUGCCAGCAGCCGCGGUAAUACGUAGGUGGCAAGCGUUGUCCGGAUUUAUUGGGCGUAAAGCGAGUGCAGGCGGUUCAAUAAGUCUGAUGUGAAAGCCUUCGGCUCA